CGCCUCUUGAAACUACAUAAGAGGUCCAGCCUGCCCAGUGACUAAGUUCAACGGCCGCGGUAUCCUAACCGUGCGAAGGUAGCGUAAUCACUUGUUCUUUAAAUGAGGACUAGUAUGAAUGGCACCACGAGGGUUAUGCUGUCUCCUUUUUCUAAUCAAUGAAACUGAUCCCCCCGUGAAGAAGCGGGGAUAUAUUUAUAAGACGAGAAGACCCUAUGGAGCUUUAAACCAUGUAACACUGGCUUUCACAUUAAAAUAUUCCAGAAUUUUCAUAAUUACUCUAGCCAUUAUGAUUACUAGUUUUAGGUUGGGGUGACCACGGAGCAAAAAUUAACCUCCAUGUUGAACGGAGCUACUCCUGAGCCAAAAGCCACGACUUUAAGCACUAAUAAAUUAACAUUAAUUGACCCAAUAUUUUUGAUCAACGAACCAAGUUACCCUAGGGAUAACAGCGCA
RNAcentral lists this ribosomal RNA (456 nucleotides) under Dendropsophus aff. minutus. RNAcentral describes it as "partial 16S ribosomal RNA". It matches the Rfam family "Bacterial large subunit ribosomal RNA", at positions 1819 to 2484 of the family's 2925-position model. The record is from RNAcentral. Lineage: Eukaryota; Metazoa; Chordata; Amphibia; Anura; Hylidae.